GACGAACCGUGCGAACGUUAUUCGGAAUCACUGGGCUUAAAGGGCGCGUAGGCGGGCUGUCAAGUCUGCGGUGAAAGCCUCCAGCUUAACUGGAGAAGUGCCGUGGAUACUGGUGGUCUCGAGGAGGGUAGGGGCAUCUGGAACGUUGGGUGGAGCGGUGAAAUGCGUUGAUAUCCAACGGAACUCCGGUGGCGAAGGCGAGGUGCUGGACCCUUUCUGACGCUGAGGCGCGAAAGCCAGGGGAGCGAACGGG
RNAcentral lists this ribosomal RNA (253 nucleotides) under uncultured bacterium. RNAcentral describes it as "partial 16S ribosomal RNA". It matches the Rfam family "Bacterial small subunit ribosomal RNA", at positions 524 to 776 of the family's 1533-position model. The record is from RNAcentral.